Molecule: long non-coding RNA, 758 nt
Filed under: Homo sapiens (human)
Lineage: Eukaryota; Metazoa; Chordata; Mammalia; Primates; Hominidae
Description: HSALNT0262588
Source: RNAcentral
CAGAAACCAUUGGGGUGGGAAGAGGGCUGGGCUGUGGGCUUCUUAUUCAUACCUGUGUCCCGGUACCUAGUAGUGCCUGGCAUACAGUCAAUGCCCAAUACAUAAUAGAUGAUGGCUGGCUGGAUGAUGGAUGGGUAGAUGAAUGCGUGGGUAGAUGAAGAAUGCGUGGGUGGAUGAUGGGUGAUGAAUGGACCGAUGAUGGAUGGAUGAAUGUACAGAUGAUGGAUGGGUAGAUGAAGAAUGCGUGGGUGGAUGAGGGGUGGAUGAAUGUCUAGAUGAUGGAUGGGUGGGUGGAUAACUAGAUGGACGGAUGGGUGAUGGAUGGGUAGAUGAUGAAUGCAUGGGUGGAUGAUGGGUGGAUGAAUGUACAGAUGAUGGAUGGGUGGGUGGAUGACUAGAUGGACGGAUGGGUGAUGGAUGGGUAGAUGAUGAAUGCAUGGGUGGAUGAUGGGUGGAUGGAUGGACGGAUGAUGGGUGGAUGAAUGUACAGAUGAUGGAUGGGUGGGUGCAUGGGUGGAUGAGUAGAUGGAUGGAUGGGUGGGUCAUGGAUAGAUGGGUGAUGAUGAUGGAUGACAGAGGGAUGGUGGGAUUGGUGUGAGGGGGAACAUGUGAAGGAUGGAUGGAUGCCUGGGAGAAUGAUAGAGGGAUGGAUGGGUGAAUGGGUGGGUAUAUGAUAGAGGAAUGGAUAGGUGGAGGGUGGAUGAUGGCUAGAUGGGUGCAUGGAUGGAUAGAUGGAUGGAUGAACCUCCAACCCCGAG